UGCUGGCCUCUCGAGGCAUGUGCACGCCUGUCUUGACUCUAUUCAUCCACCUGUGCACAUAUUGUAGUUCUGUACUCACUGGGGGAUCAAGAAAAGCAGGCUAUUGUUCAGUUGAAACACACUGGAUUUGAAGACUGCCGUUCCGGCUUUCUUCUGCUAGCUUUGCGAAAUUGUGCUUCCUCGAGAACAGGGCUAUGUCUUUUAUCAUAAACCAUGUAGUAUGUUGCCAGAAUGUAUUCAAUGGGCCUUUAUGCCUAUAAAACCUUAUACAACUUUCAGCAACGGAUCUCUUGGCUCUCGCAUCGAUGAAGAACGCAGCGAAAUGCGAUAAGUAAUGUGAAUUGCAGAAUUCAGUGAAUCAUCGAAUCUUUGAACGCACCUUGCGCUCCUUGGUAUUCCGAGGAGCAUGCCUGUUUGAGUGUCAGUAAUCUCUCAACUCCUCUGGCUUUUAUUAGCUGGCUGGAGCUUGGAUAUGGAGGUGUUGCAGGCCUUUUGUAGGUCAGCUCCUCUGAAAUGCAUUUAGCGGAACCGUUUGCAAUCCGUCACAGGUGUGAUAAUUAUCUACGCCAGUGGGUUGCUCUCUGUCUUGUUCAGCUGCCAACUGUCCGAAAGGACAAUCAUUUACUGAAUCUUUGACCUCAAAUCAGGUAGGAACUACCCG
This 661-nucleotide ribosomal RNA is filed under the name Agaricaceae sp. BAB-4078. Its description in RNAcentral is "eukaryotic LSU rRNA". The stretch from base 271 to 424 matches the Rfam family "5.8S ribosomal RNA". The record is from RNAcentral. Lineage: Eukaryota; Fungi; Basidiomycota; Agaricomycetes; Agaricales; Agaricaceae.